CUACGGGAGGCAGCAGUGGGGAAUAUUGCACAAUGGGCGAAAGCCUGAUGCAGCGACGCCGCGUGAGGGAUGACGGCCUUCGGGUUGUAAACCUCUUUCGACAGGGACGAAGCGCAAGUGACGGUACCUGUAGAAGAAGCACCGGCCAACUACGUGCCAGCAGCCGCGGUAAUACGUAGGGUGCGAGCGUUGUCCGGAAUUACUGGGCGUAAAGAGCUUGUAGGCGGCUUGUCGCGUCGAUCGUGAAAACUUGGGGCUCAACCCCAAGCUUGCGGUCGAUACGGGCAGGCUUGAGUACUUCAGGGGAGACUGGAAUUCCUGGUGUAGCGGUGAAAUGCGCAGAUAUCAGGAGGAACACCGGUGGCGAAGGCGGGUCUCUGGGAAGUAACUGACGCUGAGAAGCGAAAGCGUGGGUAGCGAACAGGAUUAGAUACCCUGGUAGUCCACGCCGUAAACGGUGGGUACUAGGUGUGGGUUUCCUUCCACGGGAUCCGUGCCGUAGCUAACGCAUUAAGUACCCCGCCUGGGGAGUACGGCCGCAAGGCUAAAACUCAAAGGAAUUGACGGGGGCCCGCACAAGCGGCGGAGCAUGUGGAUUAAUUCGAUGCAACGCGAAGAACCUUACCUGGGUUUGACAUACACCGGAAACCUGCAGAGAUGUAGGCCCCCUUGUGGUCGGUGUACAGGUGGUGCAUGGCUGUCGUCAGCUCGUGUCGUGAGAUGUUGGGUUAAGUCCCGCAACGAGCGCAACCCUUAUCUUAUGUUGCCAGCGCGUAAUGGCGGGGACUCGUGAGAGACUGCCGGGGUCAACUCGGAGGAAGGUGGGGACGACGUCAAGUCAUCAUGCCCCUUAUGUCCAGGGCUUCACACAUGCUACAAUGGCCGGUACAGAGGGCUGCGAUACCGUGAGGUGGAGCGAAUCCCUUAAAGCCGGUCUCAGUUCGGAUCGGGGUCUGCAACUCGACCCCGUGAAGUUGGAGUCGCUAGUAAUCGCAGAUCAGCAACGCUGCGGUGAAUACGUUCCCGGGCCUUGUACACACCGCCCGUCACGUCAUGAAAGUCGGUAACACCCGAAGCCGGUGG
RNAcentral lists this ribosomal RNA (1083 nucleotides) under Nocardia cyriacigeorgica. RNAcentral's name for it is "bacterial SSU rRNA". It matches the Rfam family "Bacterial small subunit ribosomal RNA", at positions 339 to 1433 of the family's 1533-position model. Lineage: Bacteria; Bacillati; Actinomycetota; Actinomycetes; Mycobacteriales; Nocardiaceae. The record is from RNAcentral.